This 1216-nucleotide long non-coding RNA is filed under the name Canis lupus familiaris (dog). RNAcentral describes it as "lncRNA (ENSCAFG00000051821.1, ENSCAFG00805004593.1, ENSCAFG00845005215.1)". The record is from RNAcentral. Lineage: Eukaryota; Metazoa; Chordata; Mammalia; Carnivora; Canidae.
UACUGAUGUCAUUAUUUAAAUUAGGAAAAUUUAGCACUUCAACACAUUGAUUUAUAAGUACAUCUCAAAACAAGGUGGCUAUGUCCAUAACUUAUAAAUACUUCCACUAUUAUUCCAUUAACAAUGUAAAAUUAUUCAAGUAAGUGAGACUAGAAAAAUGGAAAACUAUAUAUUCAAGAGGAAAUAAUUCAUCAAGGCAAUCCACUCACUUUUGUUUUGGAGAGAAUAUUGUUAUAUUACAAAUUCAGAAACAUUAAACUUCAGUCUUGAAAAAGCAUGUUCAUCUAUAAAAUAUCUGACCAUCGAGAUUCACAUUAUAUUUGUCCCAUUAAUAUAAAUUUAAUAAUAUGAAUAAGUGAGGAACUAGAUAUUUAGACCCAUCCUCAAGAAAGCUAGGAGUCAAGGAAAUAUUUUUAAACAACUUGAAAUCUAAUCUGUAAAGAUAUAGUGAGAGAGAAUGCAAUAGUAAUGAUGCAUAUUUCUUAAUUCACACAUGUCCAUUUCAUUUCAAUUUUCUCCUCAUGACACCUAAAAGCUGUUGGGCAUCCAUAUAGCAAAGUCAUACAAAGUCCUGUCCUCACUGUUUCUCACUCUACUAGUCACUGUGAGCUUCUACUUCAUGCCAUUUCAUUAACUCAAUCCUUAUUUCCAUCCUAGAACUUGCCAUCAACUAGGGUUACUAGACAUUUUAAAUACUAGCACUCUAGCCCUCAUACUACGGCCCCAAGAGACCUCAAGUGUCUUGACCCCACAUUUGUCUUCAAAUCAAAGAGCUCCUAUCUUACUCUACUUCCUUCCUAAAACAUCACUUCAACAAUUCCCUGGACCACACCCUCAACCUGUUCACUCAUUUACCCUUCAGAUGCAAAAACCCUGGAAAUAUCAAGCAUUUUCCAACUUAUAAAAUUUCACCUUUGAACAGUAUUUCCAGAAAAUAAUUGGAUCAUAAGUGAGGGGUUCCCUGUUGCGUGUUUUUCAGCUUCCUUUCAGAUCAGACUGUUUUUCAGUUAGCCAAAACAUCUGAAUCAGGUAACAUGUGUUGGUGGCAACAGGGGUCACAGUCAACAUAUUCAACAACUAACCAAAUGGAACAGAUCAUAUUUUUAAAACUCCAGCCAAUAGCAACUCUAAUUGCAAGCAAAAGGAAACAACUCCAGAAAGGGAGGAAACUGGAGGGGGCGGGGGUGGGGGGUGGAAUUAAGUGAAAAAAAAAAAA